UACGUAGGGGGCUAGCGUUUGUCCGGAAUCAUUGGGCGUAAAGCGCGCGUAGGCGGCCAGAUAAGUCCGGUGUGAAAGUCACAGGCUCAACCUGUGAAUGCCGCUGGAAACUGUCUGGCUAGAGUCCGGAAGGGGCGAGUGGAAUUCCUGGUGUAGCGGUGAAAUGCGCAGAUAUCAGGAGGAACACCAAUGGCGAAGGCAGCUCGCUGGAACGGUACUGACGCUGAGGCGCGAAAGCGUGGGGAGCGAACAGG
This 254-nucleotide ribosomal RNA is filed under the name uncultured bacterium. RNAcentral describes it as "partial 16S ribosomal RNA". It matches the Rfam family "Bacterial small subunit ribosomal RNA", at positions 524 to 776 of the family's 1533-position model. The record is from RNAcentral.